This 406-nucleotide ribosomal RNA is filed under the name uncultured bacterium. RNAcentral describes it as "partial 16S ribosomal RNA". It matches the Rfam family "Bacterial small subunit ribosomal RNA", at positions 30 to 526 of the family's 1533-position model. The record is from RNAcentral.
AUUGAACGCUGGCGGCAGGCCUAACACAUGCAAGUCGAACGAGUGGCGGACGGGUGAGUAAUGUCUGGGAAACUGCCCGAUGGAGGGGGAUAACUAAUGGAAACGGUAGCUAAUACCGCAUACCAUCGGAUGUGCCCAGCUGGGAUUAGCUAGUAGGUGGGGUAACGGCUCACCUAGGCGACGAUCCCUAACUGGUCUGAGAGGAUGACCAGCCAAACGGGAACGUAGACACGGUCCAGACUCCGACGGGAGGCAGCAGUGGGGAAUAUUGCACAAGGGGAGCAAGCCUGAUGCAGCCAUGCCGUGUGUAUGAAGAAGGCCUUCGGGUUGUAAAGUACUUUCAGCGGGGAGGCGUUACCCGCAGAAGAAGCACCGGCUAACUCCGUGCCAGCAGCCCCGGUAAUUC